UACGAAGGGAGCUAGCGUUGUUCGGAAUUACUGGGCGUAAAGGGCGCGUAGGCGGGUUUCCAAGUCGGGGGUGAAAUUCCGGGGCUCAACCCUGGGACGGCCUUCGAUACUGGGAGCCUGGAGAUCGGGAGAGGGGAGUGGAAUUCCGAGUGUAGAGGUGAAAUUCGUAGAUAUUCGGAGGAACACCGGAGGCGAAGGCGGCACACUGGACCAAGACUGACGCUGAGGAGCGAAAGCGUGGGGAGCAAACGGG
Molecule: ribosomal RNA, 253 nt
Filed under: uncultured bacterium
Lineage: Bacteria
Description: partial 16S ribosomal RNA
Rfam family: Bacterial small subunit ribosomal RNA
Source: RNAcentral